This 489-nucleotide long non-coding RNA is filed under the name Linum usitatissimum (flax). RNAcentral describes it as "long non-coding RNA (LUSI_LNC004709)". The record is from RNAcentral. Lineage: Eukaryota; Viridiplantae; Streptophyta; Magnoliopsida; Malpighiales; Linaceae.
GAACAACAUGGAUGAAAACCCCGACACUAUAUCAUAAAUCGUCAAAACAAAAUUGAAAAACAAUAAAAAAAUCAGAUAAUCGAUUAGAAAAUAAUAAAGAAGAAAAAAUUCAGUUAUCUUCGGCUUCCUCAUAAUCUUCUGCUCUCUCUUCUCUAAUUGUCUCCAGCUUGGGAGAAUUGUUAUUAUAAUUACUGGAAGAAGAAGAAGAAGAAGAAGGUCUGGAUCGAAAGUCAAGUAGACAAGGUGGCGGGACCUCCAUUAAUGGAUUCUUCAAGCUUCUGAUCAUCAUCUCCUUUGCCAUCUGAUAUAAGAACAAGAAUCUUCUUGAAUCUCUCUUUCUCUUUAGGAUUUCCCAGCUGAGAGAGAGAGAAGUCAAAGAUUGGAGAAAUAAUAAUUUGGGAAAAGGGCCAAAACCUUUUGCUUUAAUUUCUUCUUAAAUUUUAAUUUUUUUUUCUUCUUAUGAAAGAAAAGUGUUUUGUUUGAAUGAAG